Molecule: ribosomal RNA, 1323 nt
Filed under: metagenome
Description: bacterial LSU rRNA
Rfam family: Bacterial large subunit ribosomal RNA
Source: RNAcentral
AGUGGAUGGGGAGCAACCUAGUUGUGCGUGUGUAAAGGUAGUGCCAAGAAAAGCGAUGAUCAUGUUGAAAAUCAAUUCCCGGUACCCGAGACCGACACAGGUGGGCAAGUAGAGAAUACUAAGGGGCGCGAGGUAACUCUCUCCAAGGAACUCGGCAAAAUGACCCCGUAACUUAGGGAGAAGGGGUGCCACCGAGAGGUGGUCGCAGUGAAGAGGCCCAGGCGACUGUUUAGCAAAAACAUAGGUCUCUGCAAACUCGAAAGAGGAGGUAUAGGGGCUGACGCCUGCCCAGUGCCGGAAGGUUAAAGAAGUUGGUCAGUUUUAGGAUGAAGCUAGCGACUGAAGCCCCGGUGAACGGCGGCCGUAACUAUAACGGUCCUAAGGUAGCGAAAUUCCUUGUCGGGUAAGUUCCGACCCGCACGAAAGGCGUAACGAUCUGGGCGCUGUCUCGGAGAGAGGCUCGGCGAAAUAGGAUUGUCUGUGAAGAUACGGACUACCUGCACCUGGACAGAAAGACCCUAUGAAGCUUUACUAUAGCUUGGAAUUGUGUUCGGGCUUCCUGUGCGCAGGAUAGGUGGGAGGCGUAGAAGGUAUUCUUGUGGGGAUACUGGAGCCAACGGUGAGAUACCACUCUCAGGAGGCUAGAAUUCUAACUUAAUUAAGGACAGUUUCAGGUGGGUAGUUUGACUGGGGCGGUCGCCUCCAAAAAGGUAACGGAGGCGUACAAAGGUUCCCUCAGACUGGUUGGAAAUCAGUCGAAGAGUGCAAGGCAGAAGGGAGCUUGACUGCGAGAAGUACAGUUCGAGCAGGGUGGAAACACGGUCUUAGUGAUCCGACGGUGCUGUGUGGAAGGGCCGUCGCUCAACGGAUAAAAGUUACUCUAGGAUAACAGGCUGAUCUCCCCCAAGAGUUCACAUCGACGGGGAGGUUUGGCACCUCGAUGUCGGCUCAUCGCAACCUGGGGCGGAAGUACGUCCCAAGGGUUGGGCUGUUCGCCCAUUAAAGCGGUACGUGAGCUGGGUUCAGAACGUCGUGAGACAGUUCGGUCCAUAUCCGAUGUAGGCGUGAGAAUAUUGAGAGGAGCCUUCCUUAGUACGAGAGGACCGGGAAGGACGCACCGCUGGUGUACCUGUUAUGAUGCCAAUUGUAAACGCAGGGUAGCCAAGUGCGGAGAGGAUAACCGCUGAAAGCAUCUAAGUGGGAAGCCCACCUCAAGAUGAGUAUUCUGGUGUAAGGUCACGGGAAGACGACCCGUAAAUAGGCACGAGGUGGAAGUGCAGAGAUGUAUGAAGCUGAAGUGUACUAAUAGACCGUCGGCUUGAC